This is a long non-coding RNA of Poeciliopsis prolifica (blackstripe livebearer), 976 nucleotides long. RefSeq lists it as uncharacterized. NCBI's taxonomy places the organism in Eukaryota, Metazoa, Chordata, Actinopteri, Cyprinodontiformes, Poeciliidae. The record is from RefSeq and is a predicted model, not a curated record. The transcript is spliced from 4 exons.
AACAAGUGAAUGCUGCAUAGGUUAUGUGGAUUUUUUCUUAACAUGAUCGUCCAACAAUGUCCAACAAUGACAGGAGGACAUUGUUGGAAAAAAAAUGUGCCAACUCCCAGUUUUUAUCUGGAAGCAGAAGGUUAGUUUGUACUGACCGGAAUGACGACAGCCAAUGAAAAGAGAGGCAGAGACUCAACUGGCCGGUCUGUCUGAGAGGAGUCUGCGAGAAACAUCAAUGGCUUGACUGAUAACCCCCCCAAAGCCCACCCGGCGCCCAACCCACCACAUUGACAGCUUCGAAGUAAGUGAGAAACUACACCCUGUGACUCUCUGUUCAGAUGUGUCAUAUGAAGGGAGGGCGUCUUUACCUGAACUACUGCUGCCAGAAACUUCCUGUUCUCCCUCUGGAGAUGAUCCACGAAGACAAUGAGUGUCUUUCCCAGACAAAGUCACUGAAGGAUUUUCUGCUCUAUCCGAUUUUCUGCAAAUUUUGCCUGAAUUUCGACCAGAAGAUGGCACUAACGCCCAGCCUUAUCAGCUCGGCGUCGCAUACCAAACAAUUGCUCCCGCUGGGCAGUUUAGCACGCGGCACAGAGUGUGUGGUUGUAAAAAUCGACCUUGCCACCAACGUCUCCGGUGGAUGUUGACUUUGAGUUUGCAUUGAGUCCACUUCGUGUACAUGUGGGCCUCAGUGGAGGGAAGCAUGGCCGAGAAUGUGUGAAUUUAAGCGCUUACGUAGAAGACAACUGAACUUCAUCUGUUUUCCCAAAGAUAUUUUGUCUCUUAUCAAAAAUGCUUCUUUUGUUCCACUGACUUGUUAGUUUAGGAAUCACUGAACAGCUUUAGCACCGCUAAAGCAUUAAAAAUUUAUCAUCAACCUUCCAGACUUCUCAGGUCUUCUAGUUCUGCUCUGCAUCCCCACAACCAAACAUGGAGAAGCAUCAUUCAGCAUCAUAAAUUUGGAGCAAACGUCCAGAAAACAGCA